AGGAGCCGUGUGAGGUGAAAGUCUCAUGCACGAUUCUGAAGGGGGGGGAUGGAGGCGACUCCAUCCCCGACCCCUAA
Molecule: non-coding RNA, 77 nt
Filed under: Microcystis aeruginosa PCC 9808
Lineage: Bacteria; Bacillati; Cyanobacteriota; Cyanophyceae; Chroococcales; Microcystaceae
Source: RNAcentral